UAGCCGUAAACGAUACUCGCUAGGCGUCGGCCACGGUGCGACCGUUGUCGGUGCCGUAGGGAAGCCGUGAAGCGAGCCACCUGGGAAGUACGGCCGCAAGGCUGAAACUUAAAGGAAUUGGCGGGGGAGCACCACAACGGGUGGAGCUUGCGGUUUAAUUGGAUUCAACGCCGGAAAUCUUACCGGGACCGACAGCAACAUGAAGGCCAAGCUGAAGACUUUGCCGGAUUAGCUGAGAGGUGGUGCAUGGCGUAGUCGUGU
RNAcentral lists this ribosomal RNA (261 nucleotides) under uncultured archaeon. RNAcentral's name for it is "partial 16S ribosomal RNA". It matches the Rfam family "Archaeal small subunit ribosomal RNA", at positions 748 to 1009 of the family's 1478-position model. The record is from RNAcentral.